CCAUUUAAAGUGGUACGCGAGCUGGUUUUAGAACGUCGUGAGACAGUUCGGUCCCUAUCUGCCGUGGGCGCUGGAGAACUGAGGGGGGCUGCUCCUAGUACGAGAGGACCGGAGUGGACGCAUCACUGGUGUUCGGGUUGUCAUGCCAAUGGCACUGCCCGGUAGCUAAAUGCGGAAGAGAUAAGUGCUGAAAGCAUCUAAGCACGAAACUUGCCCCGAGAUGAGUUCUCCCUGACUCCUUGAGAGUCCUGAAGGAACGUUGAAGACGACGACGUUGAUAGGCCGGGUGUGUAAGCGCAGUGAUGCGUUGAGCUAACCGGUACUAAUGAACCGUGAGGCUUAACCUUACAACGCCGAAGGUGUUU
RNAcentral lists this ribosomal RNA (365 nucleotides) under Escherichia coli O103:H25 str. 2010C-4529. RNAcentral describes it as "bacterial LSU rRNA". It matches the Rfam family "Bacterial large subunit ribosomal RNA", at positions 2584 to 2925 of the family's 2925-position model. Lineage: Bacteria; Pseudomonadati; Pseudomonadota; Gammaproteobacteria; Enterobacterales; Enterobacteriaceae. The record is from RNAcentral.